Molecule: ribosomal RNA, 763 nt
Filed under: uncultured Streptococcus sp.
Lineage: Bacteria; Bacillati; Bacillota; Bacilli; Lactobacillales; Streptococcaceae
Description: bacterial SSU rRNA
Rfam family: Bacterial small subunit ribosomal RNA
Source: RNAcentral
GAUGAACGCUGGCGGCGUGCCUAAUACAUGCAAGUAGAACGCUGAAGGAGGAGCUUGCUUCUCUGGAUGAGUUGCGAACGGGUGAGUAACGCGUAGGUAACCUGCCUGGUAGCGGGGGAUAACUAUUGGAAACGAUAGCUAAUACCGCAUAAGAGCAGUUGUUGCAUGACAGCUGUUUAAAAGGUGCAAUUGCACCACUACCAGAUGGACCUGCGUUGUAUUAGCUAGUUGGUGAGGUAACGGCUCACCAAGGCGACGAUACAUAGCCGACCUGAGAGGGUGAUCGGCCACACUGGGACUGAGACACGGCCCAGACUCCUACGGGAGGCAGCAGUAGGGAAUCUUCGGCAAUGGGGGGAACCCUGACCGAGCAACGCCGCGUGAGUGAAGAAGGUUUUCGGAUCGUAAAGCUCUGUUGUUAAGGAAGAACGUGUGUGAGAGUGGAAAGUUCACACAGUGACGGUACUUAACCAGAAAGGGACGGCUAACUACGUGCCAGCAGCCGCGGUAAUACGUAGGUCCCGAGCGUUGUCCGGAUUUAUUGGGCGUAAAGCGAGCGCAGGCGGUUAGAUAAGUCUGAAGUGAAAGGCAGUGGCUCAACCAUUGUAGGCUUUGGAAACUGUUUAACUUGAGUGCAGAAGGGGAGAGUGGAAUUCCAUGUGUAGCGGUGAAAUGCGUAGAUAUAUGGAGGAACACCGGUGGCGAAAGCGGCUCUCUGGUCUGUAACUGACGCUGAGGCUCGAAAGCGUGGGGAGCGAACAGG